GAUGAACGCUAGCGGCAGGCCUAACACAUGCAAGUCGAGGGGUAGCAGGAUUAAGCUUGCUUAAUUGCUGACGACCGGCGCACGGGUGCGUAACGCGUAUGCAACCUACCUUAUACUGGGGUAUAGCCCGGAGAAAUUCGGAUUAAUCCCCCAUAGUACUAAUGAAUCGCAUGGUUUAUUAGUUAAAGCAUUGCGGUAUAAGAUGGGCAUGCGUCCUAUUAGCUAGAUGGUGAGGUAACGGCUCACCAUGGCUACGAUAGGUAGGGGGCCUGAGAGGGUGGUCCCCCACACUGGUAAUGAGAAACGGACCAGACUCCUACGGGAGGCAGCAGUGAGGAAUAUUGGUCAAUGGGCGCAAGCCUGAACCAGCCAUGCCGCGUGCAGGAAGAAUGCCCUAUGGGUUGUAAACUGCUUUUAUUUGGGAAUAAACCUCUUUACGUGUAGAGAGCUGAAGGUACCAAAUGAAUAAGCACCGGCUAACUCCGUGCCAGCAGCCGCGGUAA
Molecule: ribosomal RNA, 503 nt
Filed under: uncultured bacterium
Lineage: Bacteria
Description: partial 16S ribosomal RNA
Rfam family: Bacterial small subunit ribosomal RNA
Source: RNAcentral